CCAUACAAUGGGCGUUAUUAGCACAAAUCAGUCCCAUAGAUGUGGGGCUAUCUCCUGCUAGAUUGUUCAAAAGGUUGUUAUCAUCCAUCCAGAUGGAGGAUCAGUAACUGGAGCGUGGAAGACUCCAGAAUCCACUCUGGCUGGAAUCCGGUGGAUACAGCAGUGUUACAGGUACAGUACGUGAUAUUAAGGGCAGGCGGUCAUCACUGGGGGAAGACAAGAAGCAGACGUACUUCCAAGAGGGAGCUGCAGUGAGGACACAGCCUGGUCACUGAGGUCAGAGGUCAGAAUCUGAAACAGCUCAGGUUCAUAUUUUAGGGGUUAUAAAAAAAUCCAAAUGUAUUUAUAAAGAAACCUUUAAAUAAUAUUUCAAAUAAUAGUCAUAAUUAUGAUUAUUAUAAGAAAUAUCAAACAUUUUAGUGGAUUUUCUGUUACACAUAUUUCUUAGCCCUGCGAUAAACUGGCAGCCUGUUGUGGUGGCAGAUUUCUUUUCUCAUGUAUUAAUCACAUAUUUAAUCAUAUCACAUUAGUUAUAGUAAUAUCACUUUCUCACUUUACUAUAGUAAGAGCACUCCUGUCACUAUUUUACAUGCAUGUGGAAAGUUAACACAGUGAGGCCGUUGUAAUGGGACAUGUUAAACAGAUAGUGAGACUCCUUCCGCUUAUCAGGGAUGUAAAUGCUUAGGUGAAGGCUAAGCAGAAAACAAGGUCAUAAUUCUCUCUGUGAGGGAGGAGGUAUAGCCCCCCGUGAGAGGGGGGUAGGACAUGUAAGAGUUUGUAGAAUGUUCUUUGUCUGUGUGUCUGUAUAUAAGAUGUAAGGGCGGUGGCCACAAUUCAGAGAUGGUCCUGGUGUUUCACUGGGAUGCUCUCUCCACAUUGCAAUGUGUUGAUUAAACCCACUUCAAAUCAA
Long non-coding RNA from Oreochromis aureus, 910 nucleotides. RefSeq lists it as uncharacterized. The record is from RefSeq and is a predicted model, not a curated record. Lineage: Eukaryota; Metazoa; Chordata; Actinopteri; Cichliformes; Cichlidae. The transcript is spliced from 3 exons.